RNAcentral lists this ribosomal RNA (624 nucleotides) under Triticum aestivum (bread wheat). RNAcentral's name for it is "partial small subunit ribosomal RNA". Lineage: Eukaryota; Viridiplantae; Streptophyta; Magnoliopsida; Poales; Poaceae. The record is from RNAcentral.
AUGUUGCUAGAUGGACUUUUCCAGAAAGCUCAUAAAGUAUUUCAGGGUCCCAAAAAUAAAUCCUUAAAAAUGUUCAAUAUUUUGGUUGGGACCAGAACCCUUACCAAAAAUUAUCAAACAUUUAAGAAGAGCCUUUUUGGAGCAAUGAAUGAGAUUUCUAGGGUUUUUGCCCCUCUUUUAUUUAGGGUUUUGAGGUCGGUCUCCAUUGUCUAUACCAUGAUUGGGGAUGUCUGCCUGUACAUUGUCAGCAAGGAUGAAUAUGAUGAGCUUGCUCUGUCGGAGGUGAUCUUUGCUGUUAUGUCGGCGGUGAAGGAUGUGUGCGCAAAACCACCCACCGAGCGCCUCUUCCUUGACAAGUACGGGAGGAUCUGCCCAUGCCUCGAUGAGAUCAUUUGGCAGGUGCCGCCGGAUAACACGGAGAAGGAUAAGGUUCAGAGGCUGAUCAGGCUCAAGCCUCCCGUGGAGCCAUGGUUUUCCCAAUUGAUGGAUCUUUUCUGUGUAUGUAUCGCUUUGCUAGAGCGUGUAUCUAUCUCUGAACUGAUUGAUUCGUGGCUGAAAGAAAAACAAGCCUAUGCUUGCACCAACAUUAUUAGAAUGAGGUGUGGGGAUAUAUCAUUUUUUUAA